This 1213-nucleotide long non-coding RNA is filed under the name Homo sapiens (human). RNAcentral's name for it is "HSALNT0296093". Lineage: Eukaryota; Metazoa; Chordata; Mammalia; Primates; Hominidae. The record is from RNAcentral.
AUUACAGGCAUGAGCCACUGCGCCCGGCCAGAAACAGACAUUCUUAUUCCUACAGAGCCCGUCAUGACAACAGCUGCCCUGCAGCACCUCUUCCAGACAUCACAAUGGGAAACAGGAAAUACGCUGUCCCUCUCCAACCUCUGCCUUCAUCUCCCCUCCCCUUGUACAAGUUCCUUCACAGAAGUUCUUUCACAUAAAUUUUGUGCAAAUGGAUUCCUGUGGACUUCAACUCUGACAAGUCUGAAUCCCAGUGGAAAUGCAAGUUAGCCUCAAACUGAGAACCUCAUACUACAUUCAGAAUAUGUUUUCAUGUUUCCAAAAUGUCACCAACAAUGAGAUGACAGGAACCUGAACCAAAAGGAUGAGAGUAGAGAUGGAAAGUAAAUGUUGUUACAAAGGCUAAAUCAGAAAUUUGUCCCAGAUCUAGUAUGGAUCAUGAAGAAGAAGAUAGAAUGAAAGAACACUCUUACCAUUCUGAGUGCCGAAAGCAGGAGGUGGUUCCUAAAAAUAUGAAGUUUGGGUAUCCUAUACAAUGAGAGAAGAAUGUCUAUCUUCAUUAUGUUCAAGUACCCAGAUAAAUGAACCUGCUGUUAUAAGGGGGAGACAUGACAAGCUUUACGUGUUGAAAAUACAAAGAGCCUGACCCUACAGGAAUCUUUCUUUCUGGCCUUUUUCAUCGAAACAAGGAAAGACUCUAUCUUUUGGGGGACCAGCUUUGUCAGUGACACUUCUGCUGAAGACAAGAUGAAUGAUGCAGGCAAUGUUGAAUGCUACUGGAUAUCAAAACCUGAUAAUUUUUAGGGAUACAGAAAAGAAGAGAGAAGCUUGAACUGUUGAUUCAAGUCCUAUUGAGUGGUCACUAAAUUCACUCAUACUACAAGUUCAGAUACGCAGAGAAAAUACAAAUUCUUUAUUGUCUAUAGCUGAUUGCUUCCUGCCAGGUCUCUAGUCAUUGGUUAACAGGAAUAAACAAGUGUAUUACAUAGUUAGUCUUAGUCCUAUGCAGUAAUUUCUACAGUUCAUUUAGAUAGUAGCCUCUCAUUUGGAGAAAAACACAGUCUCUCAGGUAACCUUCCCCACCCUUGUCUCUCUUCCCAAGAUCUUGUUGAAACCAAGGGCUAAUCUUUUUAGUCACUUGCUUUUUGUUGAUUGUUUUUAACCCAUGUAGCUGAAAGCCACACUGCUAAACACUAUAACUUAACCUUCAUGAGCU